UACGUAGGCAGCGAGCGUUGUUCGGAGUUACUGGGCGUAAAGAGUGCGUAGGCGGUUUUCUAAGUUUGGUGUGAAAUCUCCCGGCUCAACUGGGAGGGUGCGCCGAAGACUGGAAGGCUUGAGUAUGGGAGAGGUAAGCGGAAUUCCUGGUGUAGCGGUGAAAUGCGUAGAUAUCAGGAGGAACACCUGCGGUGUAGACGGCUUACUGGACCAUAACUGACGCUGAGGUGCGAAAGCGUGGGGAGCAAACAGG
RNAcentral lists this ribosomal RNA (253 nucleotides) under uncultured bacterium. Its description in RNAcentral is "partial 16S ribosomal RNA". It matches the Rfam family "Bacterial small subunit ribosomal RNA", at positions 524 to 776 of the family's 1533-position model. The record is from RNAcentral.